Molecule: ribosomal RNA, 582 nt
Filed under: Spratelloides gracilis (silver-stripe round herring)
Lineage: Eukaryota; Metazoa; Chordata; Actinopteri; Clupeiformes; Clupeidae
Description: partial 12S ribosomal RNA
Rfam family: Bacterial small subunit ribosomal RNA
Source: RNAcentral
CGGCGUAAAGAGUGGUUAUGGGUACAAUAAGCUAAAGCUGAACGCCUCUCAGGCUGUUAUACGCCCCCAGAAGGCGGAAACUCGCAGACGAAAGUAGCUUUACCAGAUAGACCAGAGCCCACGAUAGCUAGGGUACAAACUGGGAUUAGAUACCCCACUAUGCCUAGCCGUAAACUUAGGCAUUUAAGUACAAUAAAUGCCCGCCUGGGGACUACAGGCACCAGCCUAAAACCCAAAGGACUUGGCGGUGUUUCAGACCCCCCUAGAGGAGCCUGUUCUAGAACCGAUAACCCUCGUUUAACCUCACCACCCCUUGCCUCUUCCGCCUAUAUACCGCCGUCGCCAGCUUACCCUGUGAGGGACCUCCAGUAAGCAAAACGGGCACCACCCAGAACGUCAGGUCGAGGUGUAGCGCAUGGGAUGGGAAGAAAUGGGCUACAUUACCUGGCUCAGGUAACUUACGAAAGACCAUUUGAAAUUCAGUGGUAUGAAGGUGGAUUUAGCAGUAAAAGGGGAAUAGAGUGCCCCUUUGAAGCCGGCUCUGAAACGCGCACACACCGCCCGUCACUCUCCCCAACACAC